GACGAACGCUGGCGGCGUGCUUAACACAUGCAAGUCGAACGGAAAGGCCCUGCUUUUGUGGGGUGCUCGAGUGGCGAACGGGUGGGUAACACGUGAGUAACCUGCCCUUGACUUUGGGAUAACUUCAGGAAACUGGGGCUAAUACCGGAUAGGAGCUCCUGCUGCAUGGUGGGGGUUGGAAAGUUUCGGCGGUUGGGGAUGGACUCGCGGCUUAUCAGCUUGUUGGUGGGGUAGUGGCUUACCAAGGCUUUGACGGGUAGCCGGCCUGAGAGGGUGACCGGCCACAUUGGGACUGAGAUACGGCCCAGACUCCUACGGGAGGCAGCAGUGGGGAAUAUUGCACAAUGGGCGGAAGCCUGAUGCAGCAACGCCGCGUGCGGGAUGACGGCCUUCGGGUUGUAAACCGCUUUCGCCUGUGACGAAGCGUGAGUGACGGUAAAGGGUAAAGAAGCACCGGCUAACUACGUG
RNAcentral lists this ribosomal RNA (468 nucleotides) under uncultured bacterium. Its description in RNAcentral is "partial 16S ribosomal RNA". It matches the Rfam family "Bacterial small subunit ribosomal RNA", at positions 28 to 507 of the family's 1533-position model. The record is from RNAcentral.